RNAcentral lists this long non-coding RNA (11250 nucleotides) under Sorghum bicolor (sorghum). RNAcentral describes it as "long non-coding RNA (SBIC_LNC016260)". The record is from RNAcentral. Lineage: Eukaryota; Viridiplantae; Streptophyta; Magnoliopsida; Poales; Poaceae.
UACCUUUGAGACAUGCUCAAUUUGUUAAAUACUAAUCACACUACUUCAUCUCCACUUGAGUAGAUCACUAUAAAUGCUGUCAUGCUACCUUUAUUUGCUUUAGUAUAUGUCUAGGUUUGGAGUAGUUUCAUUUAUCUCUUAAAUAAGCAUGGUGCUUAGUUUAGGAAUGAUGAUCUUACUUCCAAGGGAUUUUAAAUUAAGCAUGGUGCUUAGGUUAAAAUGCCCUCCUAAAUCAAAUUAGACAUGGUGUCUAGGUUGAUUUUUGAGCCGAUAGUAUGCUAUAGUAGAUAUUGGAUAUUUUGUUGGACUAACCCCUGCAGGAAAACUUUCAAUAUCGACGUGGGAAGUCCUGAGAUAAACUCACAUUAGAGACAAAGAGAGAGACACAUGAAGUUUAACAAUUUACAUAAGAAAGACAUAGCUCAUAAGAGAUGAUCCAUGAAGGGUGCCACAAACACGAUACACAACCGCUAAGAAAGGAAAGCUUCCACAAGGUGAUACUGUACCAUCACUCUUCAAAUAAGGUAACAUCUUAAGGUAUGUGACUAUCACUUUUAUAAGAUUCUCCUUGGUUCUGGCGUUCAUAUGAAUAAAAGAGACAAACAUUUAUGAUUUAUAACUCCAAAUUAACCAACCCCACUGAUUCAACAUGUUUAGUCCCUUAAUCUUUGAUCCCCACACUCCUAGUCAUAUGAGCUAAAAUGUUGCACAUUUAAUCUUUGGGAAGAUAUAAAGAAAAAGAUAUAUAUAUAUAUAUAUAGAUAGAUUAUCUUUCCAUUAGGUUGAGCGAUCUGAUCCGGCAAAUGUUUUAAAUGUUACACUCCUGAACUUAUCAUUCAUCAACUUUGUCUUGCUCACCAUGCUUAAGGUUAGAGAAGAACAAAUACACUUUUGGUUCUGUUGGUGUUUUCCACCAACAGAGCCCAUGCACUUGAUCUCUGCCUUGUCUCUAUGAGCAGGUACACUUCGAGCAAAACAUGGAGGGAUUUUACAACUCCUAGACUCCACCCAGAGAAGGACCUGGAUCUACGAGCACAAACACACUGAGUAGGAUGCUGCCAACGCCGUACUUCGAACUGCUGGACAAACGAAGAACAUGGGUGACACCGUAUCAAGAGGUGCAGACGUCAAGGUCCGCACCUGAAUCAAAUGAUGCACCUAAAGAAUGAACACGGUGAGAAGUCUUGUUCAGAAGACUUAAAACAUUGAACCCUCACCGAAAGAUAAAAUCGGUAGUUAUCCAUAUUUAUCCUUUUUUGCAUUCCCUUUUCCCUUAAAUUGUUUACUUUCCUUAAAUGGCUUGUUAGUUAAUCAUGCUAUCUUGAAAAAAAUAAAAAAUGUUAAAAAUAGUAAGCCCCAUGUGAGUAUGCUCGUGGCAUAAAACCCAUAAGUACAUUCACUGUGGUGGUGUAAAAAUAAAAUAAAUAUAUUCCUGUCCUAUAAAAAUGAAAAUAUAAAAAUAAAUUUAUGAUCCUACCAAAGAGAGUAACAUUUAUUAAGGAGGCUCAACAUGAUAAAGGCUAGAUAUUUAUGCUAACACUUAACUAGUUGUACAAAGCUUUGUUGUCUACUUAAGCUCCACAGAAUUCAAGGAUCAAAGAAGACUAGCAGACGGAGGACAUCCUAAUCGCUGUGAGGUUGCUGCCGACAUUCAAAUACACCUCCAUCACCUGCUAGCUACAUCAGAAGAAAUUACGUCAAAAUCCAGCUUAGGGGAGAGCACCCCCAUCUAUCUAGCUAAGUGUUUCUACUCGCAUUUAUACUUUACUCAAGUAAUAAAAAGAUGCAUAAUCAUAAAAACCCAAAUAAAGAUUUUAUACGUAUAUAUAUAUAUGCUUAGUUUGCUAAAUAAAUAAAUAAAUAAAGUUUGCUAUGAACCCUCAUGAUAAGCUCUCACAUGGAAAUAUGAAUAGUUGCUCUGCCAUGACUAGUUCUCAAAAGUGAAAUCUCUCUCAAGUUUAUGUAUGACUGUUAUGAAUUAAGAUUUGCUCUAAAACAUGAACUUGUGGGAAGAGUACCUGAUCAAAAGUCUAAGUCGUUAACAGAUAUGAUAUGGGAAGGUUGAGUUGCUAUUUAUCUGUUCCUAGAGAUGCUAGAAUUCUAGAGAAUUUUAUCUUUGAAGAUAUUUAAAAUGUUGCAUGAUGAGUUCCUGUAUGAUGAGAGUUUAAAAUCCUACCACAACCACAUAUACAUGCUUAUUAGACUAUGAACCAUACAUUUACUUUUUGCUGCUUAUGAGCAUUGAGUGUGGUCAAGCUGUGUAGACCCUUAGGAGCUUGUCAUGCGGUUAAAAUCAAGAUUCACUUGCACGUUCACUCAUACAUGCUGCUUCUACUCCAGAAGUACGCAUCCAAAUACAUCCACUCCUUUCCAUCUCCAGAUUCACCUAAAAUUAUUCUACUCCUAUCCAGGAGAGAAUAGCCAAAAACAUUGUCCUAUCCCUGUUAUUCCCUGUGAAAUAAAUGCUCUCAAUAUUUUGGUUACUACCACUUGCUACAUUAUUCUAGGAGGGUGGAUGCUCUGAAAAAAAGAAAAAAAUAAAAUACGAGGAAAUAAAAAGGGGCAAGUGCCCGGAACCUCGAAGAAAAGAAAAAGUGAGACGAGAGGUAAAAAUGGACAAGUGUCCGAUAGUAGAAUUAGGGGUACACGAUACCCACCUGAGAGAAAAGAAAAAAAAAGAGAAACUAUGGAGCAUCUCAUUCCCCUCAAAAAGCUUCAAAGUGCAAGAAAGGUAUGUAUCCCCUCAAAAGAGCAAACGUAGAAUUAGACUUUCACCAUUGUUUUCAUUGUUGACGUCCUUAAGUACCAAAUAUAAUCAUCAAAUAAAUAAAGAAAGGGAUCCAAAUGCAACCAACACCCAGACUUGGGGUUUUAUCUGACAGAAUUCCUCGAGUUUUGGUGUUUGUCUAUUUCUGCAGGGGGUUAUCAGGAAAUAUGGAAGAAAGGCCCACACGUCGGGUUUACAUAGAGAUAUUAAUGUGUCGCGCAAUUUUCUAUCAUCUAGAAGACUCCAGAAGCCACGGGAACGAAGCGGAGGCCGAACGGGCCCAGAGGCAGGGCGCCCGCCCUCCUUCCUUGGGCGCCCGCCCUGACUUGGAGUCCAAACAAGACUCUCUUCGGGGAUUACGCUCCAAUGACCUAAAGGAUCAAGAAUAACCGUUCAAUCAAUGUCGGUUUGAUCCGACAGCCCAGGUUCACUUGAGGGGACUAUAUAAGCAGACCCCCUGGCCCUAGGAGGAGGCACCCCUUGAUCAUUAUUCAUUAUUCAUAGAUAGAGCAAAAGCUAGGGUUUAGAGAUGAGAGCUCUGCUCUCUUCUCUAAACUAGAGUAGAUCUAGAUAGUAGCAAGAUGGAGAGCGAAGGAGGAUUAGAGGAGAGGCCGGCCUGUCGGUUCUUCCUCCGGUUUUACUUCGUUAUGAUCAAGCUCUAAUCAAGCUUGCUCAUGGGAUGACUAUGGUAAUCUACUUCUAAUUCAUUAUGCAAUUACUAAUCGUGUAUGUUCUGGUUCACAACUCUUUUGAGUACUUCUAAUCUAUAGGACCAUAUAAGUUAGAGUUGUAGUAUAGGUGUAAGCGUAGUGCUUAGACCUAGAUUACUUUUGGAUAUCCCCUGUCUAGCUGGAUCAUGUGGUAGGCCGCGUAGGUGACAGUUACAUCCUUUGUGGUGUACUCUUAUCACCUGGUUCGUCCCAGACAUAGACAUACCCCUUUGAAGUAGAGAAACCAUAGUUAUCCUCUCUAUUAUGCUACCAUCACCCAUAUACUAGAUUGCUCUACUCUCUAUUCCUAGAUUAUCACCCAUUGUUAUCUUAUCUUUAAUAAUGUUCUUAUUCAAUCCUACCAUCUUCCUAUUUACACUUAUCUAUCUAUCUUGGUUAAGUUAGAGCAUAGUUGGUUCUCCCGUUUCCCUGUGGAUACGAUAAAACCUUUAACCAGGUAAAAGCUAUAACGGUAUCCGUGCACUUGCGGAUUAUCUGUGUGCGUAUAAAUACCAUAGUACACUCUAGUGCCAUGCUGGAGAUGACAACCUAGUAUUCAAGUGGUGUUAGCAAGUGUCAACAGGCAUUUUUGGCGCCGUUGCCGGGGAAACGGUUGCUGAGUUGACUAUGAACUAGCUUAAUCAUUUUCUAAAAAAUAAAAAAAUAAAUAUAUAUAUAUAUACUUUUUCUUUUAUCUUUUGCCUUAUCUCUGCUAUUCUUUCUUCUUAUCUAAUCAUUGAUCUCUGGUCUAUCAUGAAUUUAAACAUGUCUAUCUAUAAAUUUCAUAGACCUACGGGCACACAUCUGGAACCACCAAAAUCUUCAAAGCCUAUCAUAGCGUCUAGUUUUGAGAUAGACCCCGAAUACAUAGAAUUUAUUCAAAAACAACCUUUCUCAGGAAAAGGUGAGGAAAACCCAUACACACACCUAAGAGAGUUUUAUCGAGUCUGUGACCUCCUUCGCAUAGAAGGCAUGUCCGAUGAGACCCUUAAAUGGAAGCUCUUUCCGUUCUCUUUAACGGGAAAAGCUAGACAUUUGUACAAACUCAAAGUAGGGAGUGUUCAUGGAGAUUGGAAAGAGUUAUAUAAUAGUUUUCUUUCUAAAUAUUUUCUAAUUUCCAAAGUGUUGGAACUUCAGCGUGAGAUUCUUUCUUUUAGACAACUAGAAGAAGAAUCUCUUGGCAAAUCAUGGGACCGCUUCAUUAACCUUACUCUCACAGGCCCAAAGCUUUCUAUUCCAGAAGAAGUUCUUCUAAUUCACUUUUUUGAGGGCCUUAGUAGGGAAAAUAAGCGAACCCUUCAUGCGGCCUCUGGAGGAUCUUUCCACCACCUAUCCGCUAGUGAAGCUUGGAAUUUGAUUGAUUUAAUGAGCGGAAAGUAUCCUAGCUUUUAUAUCCCUGAGAAAGAGAAAGAACCCGUUCCUAGAAAAGAAGAAGAAGUUUUGAUAGCCAGAUCACAACCAUUUCAAUUCCAAACUUUAGCUAUCGAUCCUAAACCAUCAAUACGCAAAAUUCUCCAAGGGAGGAAGGAAUUCCGACCUUAAAUCUUUCAGAUGCUAAUGGUUUAGACUUCUGGUUCCAUAAGAGACCUUCAAGCAGGGAUAAUUCAAAUCCUCGCAAUAAUGGUUCUUUUAGAGAAUGUCCUGGUUCCUGUUAUGAAGAAGUCAAGGAUAACAUAUCAAGUGAAGGAGAGCUAAACCAUAUAGAAGAUUCUAUCUGCUCCCCUUCCAUGUUCACAAAUUUUAAAUCCAUCCUUGACCUUAGAGACCCCUCUUAUCCCUCUCCUUUUAAGUCUCAUGAUGAUCCUAACAAUCCAUUAAGACGACCAAACUAUAGGAGUCAUGAAGACCAUAAGGAUGACAUGUCAAGUAAUGCCAUAGAAGGAGAGCUAAGCCAUAGAGAAGAUUCUAUGAGCUCCCCUUUCCUGAUCACAAGUUCCAAAUGGCUAGAAUGUGUAGAAUGUAUGGAUAAGGAAGAAGCCUUAAUGGAUUCUGACUUUAGCUCAAUUUCAAAUGGUGAGUUGUUGACUCCCUUUGAAAUUGGGAUUCAUCCAACUAUAGAAAAGGACAUAAAUGAGACCAAUCCAGGAGAAACUCCGAACAUUUAGAUUGGAGACAAAGAUAACAUUAAUGAGUAUGGAAUUUAUUUCAUAGCCACUUCAUUUACUCCAUGCUCAUAUGCAACAUCUUCCCAAUCUAUUGGUCUCUCCAACAUCACCACAUUUGAGAUCUCCAACCCCCUCUUCCUUUCUAUUUAUAAAAACUUUAAAAGGGCGGUUGUCGAUGCAUAUGUCUAUAAUAAAUAUUGCAGAUCUCGUUGAGUUGAUCUUGAUAUAAGUCAGCGUUGGAAGAGAAACCACUUCGCCGACAUAAAUUGAUGGUUUCCCAAGGACAAGCUUAGUGUCCUAAAAUAAGCACUGAUCAGAUCAUAACAUGAGCUUUUAAUUAUUUGCAACAUUACCUUGUGUAUUGAGCAUAUAAGGAUAAUUGUAAAAAUAUUCCUUCAGGUAUUCUUGUCACUAACCUUUCCAGGAUUGGAGCAAGAAGAUAGGAUGAAUGACAAGCACAAGGUAUGUCCAACCAAUCAUCAUACAACAUUGAAUUAAAUUCAUCCAAACAUGAAUUUUGCAAAAUUCAAGCUUGGGGGAGUAAUUAACAUCCUUUGCCAUGUUGCUAUGUUGGUUGUCCCUACCUUUGAGACAUGCUCAAUUUGUUAAAUACUAAUCACACUACUCUAUCUCCACUUGAGUAGAUCUCUAUAAAUGCUGUCAUGCUACCUUUGUCUAUUUUCUAGCAAGUGUUGGUUUGGAAGUACUCGACAUACUUCCAUUGGCAUUUAAAUUGAGCAUGGUGCUUAGGUUAAAUAGCCUUCCUUAAUCUGAUUAGACAUGGAGUCUAGUUUGGUUACUGAACUAAAAACUGCUUGAGUAGAUAUUGGUAUAUUUUGUCGGACUAACCCCUGCAGGAAAACUUUCACUAUCAACCUGGGAAGUCCUGAGAUAAACUCACAUCGGAGAUGAAGAGAGUAACACAUGAAGUUUAACAAUUUGCACAAGAAGGACAUAGCUCAUUCACCAUACAGAGAUGAUCCAUGGAAGGAGACAAAGUACAUAAAAAAGAUACACAACCACUACGAAAGGAAAGCUUCCACAAGGUGAUACUAUACCAUCACUCUUCAAGUAAGGUAACAUCUUAAGAUAUCUGACUAUCACUUUUAUAAGCUUCUCCUUGGUUCUGGCGUUCACAUAAAUAAAGAGACAAACAUGUAUGAUUCAUAACUCCAAACUAACCAACCCAACUGAUUCAGCAUGUUUAGUCCUUUAAUCUUUGUUCCUAGUACUACCUCCAUGAUCCGACACUCCUAACCAUAUGAGCUAAAAUGCUACACAUUCAAUCUUUGAGAGAUAUAAAGAAAAAGACAUAUAUAUAGAUAGAUUAUCUUUCCAUAAGGUUGAGCGAUCUGAUCUGACAAAUGUUAUAAGUGCUACACUCAUGACCUUAUUAUCCAUCAACUUUGUCUUGCUCACUAUGCUUAAGGAUUAAAGAAGAACAAAUACACUUUUGGUUCUAUUGGUAUUUUCCACCAACAGGGCCCAUGCACUUGAUCUUUGCCUUGUCUCUAUGAGAAAGUACACUUGGAGCAAAACAUGGUGUAGAUUUACAACUUCCAGAUUCCACCAAGUGAAAGACCUGGAUCUACGAGCACAAACACACUGAGCAGGAUGCUGCCAACGCUGCACUUCGAAUUGCUGGGCAAACGAAGAACACUGAUGCGAACCCGCUAGGGUUUUUGGCCUGAUCUUUCGAUGAGAGGCGCUGGAUAACUCGAUUAGUGGAUGGAGAUGACGUUCACGGCCCGACUACAGCCCUCAAGACCGCACCUUAGCAACCGAUACACCACGUCCAACAGCCGUCACGAUCUUGUGGAGCGCGACAACCAGCCCCUAGGGCUCCCGUCCUGCAAGCAAUCGAAGAACUAGCAAGAACGAGGAAACAAUCACUGAAUUUGCAAGAUGAAUUGAAGGUUUCAAACUGAAUCUGAAUCAACAAUGGGGUUUCGAAGACAAGGAGACGGGCGGCUGAUCCUGCACGCGCGCCUACAAGCAAGUAGCGAAGGCUAAACUUGAUCUAAACAAAACCCAGUUGUUCAUGGCGGCUCUAGAUGUAAAUAAUAGAGGGGAGGAUGACCAAAGGGGUGCUAGAGUCGUCCUCCAACCCUAGGACGCGUCCCUAAUGGACUCAACUUGAUACAUGGGCCAUUGGUCCAAAAUAGGGUGACGCAGCACCAAAACAGAAAAAGGUGUCGGCACGAAAACAAGGACUGCGCCCGACUCAUAAGCUACAUAGAUAUGUGGUUGGACCCAUUGGAAAGUAGACUUCAUGAGCUUUCCAACAAGUAUAGGAACGUCCCAGUUGGAGUCCAUAUGACGCCGUGGUGAUCCAUACAAGUUAGAGUUAUUUUCCAGUCCGAAUCCAACUCCCAAAACGUGUUGGGUUUGGACUGUUUGUUUCCUUGCUUUAGAAGCGACGUGGUAACUUGAUAGAGGAUGUUGUGGAGGCUUGGACCUGAUCUCCAAUCACCUUUGUUAUUUUAUCACUCUUCCCAUAUGCAAUCAGCCCUUGAAGUUGGUGUUGCCUCAAAUUUUGAAUGCAGUUGAACCUUCCCUUGCUGAUCUUGUCCAUUAUUCCUGAGCAACACGAAAGUGCACGUGUCUCCAUUGUCUAAAUAUGAUUGACAAGAGUUUAAAACUGAACUUACUUGAAGGUUGAGUUGACGGGCACGAGCACGAGUAAGAGGACCAGCUAUAGGUUGUGUCGGAGAGGAUGUAGGACCAGCUAUAGGUUGUGUCGGAGAUGUAAGACCAGCUAUAGGUUGUGUCGGAGAGGAUGUAGGAGAGGAUGUAUCACUGGUGUUGAUGUCCUCAUCAAUGGGUGACACUGUAUCAAGAGGUGCAGACAUCAAGGUCCGCACCUGAAUCAAAUGACGCACCUAAAGAAUGAACACGGUGAGAAGUCUUGUUCAGAAGACUUAAAACAUUGAACCCUCACCGAAAGGUAAAAUCGGUAGUUAUCCAUAUUUAUCCUUUUUGGAUUCCCUUUUCCCUUAAAUUAUUUACUUUCCUUAAAUGGCUUGUUAGUUAAUCAUGCUAUCUUGAAAAAAAUAAAAAAUGUUAAAAAUAGUAAGCCCCAUGUGAGUAUGCUCGUGGCAUAAAACCCAUAAGUACAUUCACUGUGGUGGUGUAAAAAUAAAAUAAAUAUAUUCCUGUCCUAUAAAAAUGAAAAUAUAAAAAUAAAUUUAUGAUCCUACCAAAGAGAGUAACAUUUAUUAAGGAGGCUCAACAUGAUAAAGGCUAGAUAUUUAUGCUAACACUUAACUAGUUCCACAAAGCUUUGUUGUCUAUUUGAGCUCCACAGUAUUCAAGGAUCAAAAAAGACUAGCAGACGGAGGACAUUCUAAUCGCUGUCAGGGUGCUGCCAACAUUCAAAUACACCUCCGCCAUCUGCUAGCUACAUCAGAAGAAAUUACAUCAAAAUCUAGCUUGGGGGAGAGCACCCUCAUUUAUCCACCUAAGUAUUUCUAUCUACGUUUAUACUUAUACUUUGUUAAAAUAAUAAAAAGAUGCAUAAUCAUAAAAACCCAAAUAAAGAUUUUAGGCUUAUAUAUAUAUCUUUUCUUAGUUUGCUAAAUAAAUAAAUAAAUAAAUAAAGUUUGCUAUGAACCCUCAUGAUAAGCUCUCACAUGGAAAUGAUGAAUAGUUGCUCUACCAUGACUAGUUCUCAAAAGUGAAAUCUCUCUCAAGUUUAGGCAUCACUGUUAUGAAAUAAGAUUUGCUCUAAACCUGAACUUGUGGGAAGAGUACUUGAUCUAAAGUCUAAGUCGUUAACGGAUAUGAUAUGGGAAGGUUGAGCUGCUGUUUAUCUGUUCCUAGAGAUGCUAGAAUUCUGGAGAAUUUUAUCUUUGAAAAUCUUUAAAAUGUUGCAUGAUGAGUUCCUGUAUGAUGAGAGUUUAAAAUCCUACCACAGCCACAUAUACAUGCUUAUUAGACUAUGAACCAUACAUUUACUUUUUACUGCUUACGAGCAUUGAGUGUGGUCAAGCUGUGUAGACCCUUAGGAGCUUGUCAUGCGGUUAAAAUCAAGAUUCACUUGCACGUUCACUCAUAUAUGCUGCUUCUGCUCCAGAAGUACGCAUCCACAUACAUCCACUCCUUUCCAUCUCCAAAUUCACCUAAAAUUAUUCUACUCCUAUCCAGGAGAGAAUAGCCAAAAACAAUUAUCCUAUCCCUGUUAUUCCCCAUGAAAUAAAUGCUCGAGAUAUUUUGGUUACUACCACUUGCUAUAUUAUUUCAGGAGGGUGAGUGCUCUAAAAAAAAGAGAGAAAAGAAAAGAAAAAAAGUGAAUACGAGGAAAUAAAAAGGGGCAAGUGCCCGGAACCUCGAAAGAAAAGAAAAAGUGAGACGAGAGGUAAAAAUGGACAAGUGUCCGACAGUAGAAUUAGGGGUACAAGAUACCCACCUGAGAGAAAAGAAAAAGAAAAUAUAGAGCAUCUCAUUCCUCUCAAAAACCUUCAAAGUGCAAGAAAGGUAUGUAUCCCCUCAAAAGAGCAAAAGUAGAAUUAGACUUUCACCAUUAUUUUCACCAUUAUAACCAUCAUCACCAUACACCAUUCAUCCGCCACACAUGCACAUCUUGGUUUGACUUAUGGACUUGUUUCUCUGGAUCCAUGGUUUGACUAUGCAAUAAAUGUCUUGUAAUUAUGUAUGAGCUGUCUCCCACCUAUGAGCUCCAGAUAUCAAACCUUAUUAGAGUAGGGUGAGAGAGAAGGCAAUAUCACUAUGCCUCAUACCACAAAUACUACAUACUCUGAGAGAAGGCGUAUAUUAUCACUGCCUUGGUAAGGAUCCAGAAAUACCACAAAAGAGAGACUAGAGAGAGUCAUACAAGGAAUCUCUGAGUUUUAUUUGAAAAUCUGCAAAAAACUACAGAGCUAUAGUUGAUCAAAGAACAAGAGACAUGGUGCUUGACUUGACCGUUCUAUCUUUUAACUGCUCAAGACACAAGUGACGGUUGCAAGCCCCAUGGUGAAAGGUAAUAUGAGUAAGUUUAAAUCUUAACAGUUUACCCUAACCUAGAGAUGAGAUCUUGUUUAAACGCAUGUGUACCUUUAAGGCAUAAAACCACUGCAGAAACUCUUGAGUCCAUCCCUGCUCAGGGACGAGCAAGAUGUAAGUUUGGGGGAGUUGUUGACGGUCCUUAAGUACCAAAAAUAAUCAUCAAAUAAAUAAAGAAAAGGAUCCAAAUGCAACCAACACCCAGACUUAGGGUUUUAUCUGACAGAAUUCCACGAGUUUUGGUGUUUGUCUAUUUCUGCAGGGGGUUAUCAGGAAAUACGGAAGAAAGGCCCACACGUCGGGUUUACAUACAGAUAUUAACGUGCCGCACAAUUUUCUAUCAUCUAGAAGACUCUAGAAGCCAGGAGAACGAAGCAGAUGCCGAACGGGCCCACAGGCAGGGCGCCCGCCCUGACUUGGAGUCCAAACAGGACUCUCUUCGGGGAUUACGCUCCAACGACCUAAAGGAUCAAGAAUAACCGUUCAAUCAAUGUCAGUUUGAUUCGACAGCCCAGGUUCACUUGAGGGGACUAUAUAACCAGACCCCCUGGCCCAUGGAGGAGGCACCCCUUGAUCAUUAUUCAUUAUUCAUAGAUAGAGCAAAAGCUAGGGUUUAGAGAUGAGAGCUCUCCUCUCUUCUCUAAACUAGAGUAGAUCUAGAUAG